Molecule: ribosomal RNA, 525 nt
Filed under: uncultured bacterium
Lineage: Bacteria
Description: bacterial SSU rRNA
Rfam family: Bacterial small subunit ribosomal RNA
Source: RNAcentral
UGGGGAAUCUUGCGCAAUGGGCGAAAGCCUGACGCAGCAACGCCGCGUGCGGGAUGAAGGCCUUCGGGUUGUAAACCGCUUUCAGCAGGGAUGAAAACAGACAGUACCUGCAGAAGAAGCCCCGGCUAACUACGUGCCAGCAGCCGCGGUAAUACGUAGGGGGCAAGCGUUAUCCGGAUUCAUUGGGCGUAAAGCGCGCGUAGGCGGGCUGUUAAGCGAGAUGUGAAAACUGGGGGCUCAACCCGCAGCCUGCAUCUCGAACUGGCAGCCUUGAGUCUGGUAGAGGAAAGUGGAAUUCCCAGUGUAGCGGUGAAAUGCGCAGAUAUUGGGAGGAACACCAGUGGCGAAGGCGGCUUUCUGGGCCACGACUGACGCUGAGGCGCGAAAGCUAGGGGAGCGAACAGGAUUAGAUACCCUGGUAGUCCUAGCCGUAAACGAUGGGCACUAGGUGUGGGGGGUAUGACUCCCUCCGUGCCGCAGCUAACGCAUUAAGUGCCCCGCCUGGGGAGUACGGCCGCAAGGCUA